ACAUUAUUUACUUACCCUAACAAGGAACUUCUUGUGGUUUUUAUUUUUUUUGUCUUUCUUUUUUUUUUAAAUGUGGCCUUCGCAAGAAACCCUCAGUGCCCAGAGCAUAUUUUUCAUCAUCUGGAAGCCAGAGCCAGAGUGGGAGCCCAACCAAGAUUGGAACCAAAAGUGAAGUCCUCACCUUCAGCACCAUCCCUGAGAUACCUGUUCCUUUAUGGUCUUUUAACAUUCAGUUUUGUGAAUGUUAAAUGUCUACUACACACAGCAUUUUUUUAAGUGUACACAGUUUGAAAGGAAUAAAUGCACCCUCAGCCAGGGGAAAUGGAGAAACAAAAAGGCUGUACCUGGUGUAAGCCUUGCUGAUGGCAGAACAAGUGGGCCAAUUCUGUGUGUCACAGAAUUGCAGCGAUUCUGGUAGGAGAUUUUCACGACUUCAUAAGAACUUAAUAGUAAUCAAAGAGCUUUUCCUCCUUCUGUUAAAAAAGAAAAAGUAGGGGGCUGAGCGGACAGGGGAAAUCUUUCACCUGAGAGUUAGAAGGGACCAGUUUCCCAUUCACAGGCUAGUCCUGCAGGACCACGUCAUUAGCCAUGAAUGCUUUGUUCUUUUGCAGAAUGUUGUGCAGCCCUGAUGAGUUUGGCUUUGAGUGUCUCCCUGGAGGAGGGAAGACUUAGUGUUGGGAACACAGCAGGCUAAGCCUGUGUUCUAAGGAGAGUGUACAGUUGCUAAUAAAGUGUUUGGAUUUUGCUUUUCUUCUUUUCA
Molecule: long non-coding RNA, 760 nt
Organism: Bos indicus x Bos taurus (hybrid cattle)
Lineage: Eukaryota; Metazoa; Chordata; Mammalia; Artiodactyla; Bovidae
Source: Ensembl